RNAcentral lists this small RNA (426 nucleotides) under Arabidopsis thaliana (thale cress). RNAcentral describes it as "ATSL234340". The record is from RNAcentral. Lineage: Eukaryota; Viridiplantae; Streptophyta; Magnoliopsida; Brassicales; Brassicaceae.
UAUCUCUAUUACACUGCUUUCACCAAUAUAUAUGGAUUAAAUAAGGGAAUGUUUGGUGAUGUUUGGGAAAAGUUCAUAUAAAUAUCUCAUAAGUUAGAGAGUACAAUUCAAAGUGAAAACCUAACGCGUACGUAACUUUGAAUUUGUUUGUCAGAAUAUUUAAAUAGCAGUGUAUUGAAUUCAUUUGUAGCAAGCCUGUAAAUUAGGAUUCGAUAUCUACGGACCGUGUACACGCAUUCUUUAGUAUUUUAUAAUGUCACAGCCACUUUUUGAUGGGCUUCAUUUCUAUCAGUUUAUUUAUUUCCGUGAAACUCAUGGUUCUCUCAUCGGUCGAUUUCUUACUGGGAUAGUACAAAACGGUUUCGAAUUACUCUGCAAUACUAUCAAAACAACCAAUCCAUGUUUUGUUCAUACUUUCAUGAUAUU